GCACUGUUGACGAGUCCCAAAAUAAGACGAAACGGCCGUCCAGUGC
RNAcentral lists this non-coding RNA (46 nucleotides) under Schistosoma mansoni. Lineage: Eukaryota; Metazoa; Platyhelminthes; Trematoda; Strigeidida; Schistosomatidae. The record is from RNAcentral.